UGAGGGGGGCUGCUCCUAGUACGAGAGGACCGGAGUGGACGCAUCACUGGUGUUCGGGUUGUCAUGCCAAUGGCACUACCCGGUAGCUAAAUGCGGACGAGAUAAGUGCUGAAAGCAUCUAAGCACGAAACUUGCCCCGAGAUGAGUUCUCCCUGACUCCUUGAGAGUCCUGAAGGAACGUUGAAGACGACGACGUUGAUAGGCCGGGUGUGUAAGCGCAGCGAUGCGUUGAGCUAACCGGUACUAAUGAACCGUGAGGCUUAACCUUACAACGCCGAAG
This 280-nucleotide ribosomal RNA is filed under the name Escherichia coli. RNAcentral describes it as "partial 23S ribosomal RNA". It matches the Rfam family "Bacterial large subunit ribosomal RNA", at positions 2663 to 2925 of the family's 2925-position model. The record is from RNAcentral. Lineage: Bacteria; Pseudomonadati; Pseudomonadota; Gammaproteobacteria; Enterobacterales; Enterobacteriaceae.